ACUACGGGUGGCAGCAGUGAGGAAUAUUGGUCAAUGGACGAGAGUCUGAACCAGCCAAGUAGCGUGAAGGAUGACUGCCCUAUGGGUUGUAAACUUCUUUUAUAUGGGAAUAAAAUGUUCCACGUGUGGGAUUUUGUAUGUACCAUAUGAAUAAGGAUCGGCUAACUCCGUGCCAGCAGCCGCGGUAAUACGGAGGUUCCGAGCUUUAUCCGGAUUUAUUGGGGUUAAAGGUUUCGGAGGCGGAGGUGCAAGUCGUCGGUCAAAUUGCGGGGAUAAACCCCGUACUGCCGUUGAAACUGCAUCCCUUGAGUGCGCGAGAAGUAUGCGGAAUGCGUGGUGUAGCGGUGAAAUGCAUAGAUAUCACGAAGAACUCCGAUUGCGAAGGCAGCAUACCGGCGCGCAACUGACGCUGAUGCACGAAAGCGUGGGUAUCGAACAGGAUUAGAUACCCUAGUAGUC
This 459-nucleotide ribosomal RNA is filed under the name uncultured bacterium. RNAcentral describes it as "partial 16S ribosomal RNA". It matches the Rfam family "Bacterial small subunit ribosomal RNA", at positions 338 to 795 of the family's 1533-position model. The record is from RNAcentral.